RNAcentral lists this ribosomal RNA (782 nucleotides) under uncultured Neocallimastigales. Its description in RNAcentral is "partial large subunit ribosomal RNA". It matches the Rfam family "Eukaryotic large subunit ribosomal RNA", at positions 23 to 634 of the family's 3401-position model. Lineage: Eukaryota; Fungi; Neocallimastigomycota; Neocallimastigomycetes; Neocallimastigales. The record is from RNAcentral.
AGAGAGAGACAUGCGCGCAUAUCAAUAAGCGGAGGAAAAGAAACUAACAAGGAUUCCCUUAGUAACGGCGAGUGAAGCGGGAAGAGCUCAAAUUUGAAAUCUUCAAGGUUUUACCUUGACGAAUUGUAGUUUAAAGAAGUGUUUUCUGCUGAAGUUUUGGUAAAAGUUCUUUGGAAUAGGACAUCAUAGAGGGUGAGAAUCCCGUAUUUGACCAUUAUUUUCAGCUUUGUGAUACACUUUCAAAGAGUCGGAUUGUUUGGGAAUGCAGUCCAAAAUGGGUGGUAAAUUUCAUCUAAAGCUAAAUAUUGGCGAGAGACCGAUAGCGAACAAGUACCGUGAGGGAAAGAUGAAAAGAACUUUGAAAAGAGAGUUAAACAGUACGUGAAAUUGUCAAAAGGGAAGCGUUUGACACCAGUGUUGUUUUCUCGAAAAUCAAUUAAAAAAUGGCAGGAUUUUGUAGUUGUAUUGACCUUUAUCAAGCUUUACUGCUACAUCUUUUCGUGUCUUUUUUUAAUGCACUUUUCGUUUAACAAGUCAACAUCAGUUUCUUUUGUUGUAAAAGGGUCAUUGGAAGGUGGCUUUCUUUUCGGAGAAAGUGUUUAUAGCCUUUGGCCUCCGCAAUCGGAGAGACUGAGGUCUGCAGCGUAGACUCUUCGGGGUUAGAUACAUUUGUGCUAAGUUAUAGCUUUUUAUAGACAACUUGUUGACUAUAAUUAGUCUUGUAGCUUACUCGCCUAUGCUAUUUUACCUACGCUUAGGAUGUUGAGUCGUAGAGCACGCAG